GACGGGGGCUAGCGUUGUUCUGAAUUACUGGGCGUAAAGCGCGCGUAGGCGGUUUUGCAAGCCAGAGGUGAAAUGCCUGAGCUCAACUUAGGAAUUGCCUUUGGGACUGCGAGGCUUUGAGGACUGGAGAGGUGAGUGGAAUUCCCAGUGUAGAGGUGAAAUUCGUAGAUAUUGGGAAGAACACCAGUGGCGAAGGCGGCUCACUGGCCAGUUUCUGACGCUGCAGCGCGAAAGCGUGGGGAUCAAACAGGAUUAGAUACCCUGGUAGUCCACGCUGUAAACGAUGAGUGCUAGGCGUCGGCACGCUUGCGUGUCGGUGCCGCAGCUAACGCGUGAAGCACUCCGCCUGGGGAGUACGGUCGCAAGAUUA
This 370-nucleotide ribosomal RNA is filed under the name uncultured bacterium. RNAcentral describes it as "bacterial SSU rRNA". It matches the Rfam family "Bacterial small subunit ribosomal RNA", at positions 527 to 896 of the family's 1533-position model. The record is from RNAcentral.